AUACGGAGGGACCAAGCGUUGUUCGGAAUCACUGGGCGUAAAGCGCGCGUAGGCGGAUUGACAAGUUGGAGGUGAAAUCCCGGGGCUCAACCCCGGAACUGCCUUCAAAACUGUCAGUCUUGAGUUCGGAAGAGGUGAGUGGAAUUCCUAGUGUAGAGGUGAAAUUCGUAGAUAUUAGGAAGAACACCAGUGGCGAAGGCGACUCACUGGUCCGAUACUGACGCUGAGGUGCGAAAGCGUGGGGAGCAAACAGGAUUAGAAACCCCAGUAGUCC
This 274-nucleotide ribosomal RNA is filed under the name uncultured bacterium. RNAcentral's name for it is "partial 16S ribosomal RNA". It matches the Rfam family "Bacterial small subunit ribosomal RNA", at positions 523 to 796 of the family's 1533-position model. The record is from RNAcentral.